AAAGAACGGAAGUAGAGAAAGUGAAGAAGUGUGAUUCUUUCAAAUUGUGGUGAUGUGCAUUUCGGUAUGGUUUGUCGCAUGUUUAGCGUUAAUUUAUUAAAAAAUAAGUGAAAUAUGCCGAAGUUUGUUUUCAAAGCUUGAUUCUAACGGUGUAUAAUUUGUUAACAGUAAUGUCCAAGUAGAUGCAUUUGGCAAGAAUGUAUGAAAAAAUGAAUUCACCUUUCAGAUAGAAUGACGUAAUAUUCGUUUCGAUUCUCGUGUAUCAUUUCGCAUAAUCAUUAAUAAUUUUCAAGUUGAUCACUAAUUUUCAAAAUGAAGUCUUCUACAAAUCAUUCCAAUAACGUGACAGUUUUCAAGCAUGUGAAAUACGAACAUCUAGUUGCUGGAAUUACUGGCGGAGUCACAUCAACGUUACUUUUACAUCCAUUGGAUCUUUUAAAAAUUCGAUUUGCUGUAUGCGAUGGUCGACAUUCAGUUCCUCAGUACAACAGUCUAACUGGCGCCGUUUCUCAGAUCUGUAAGCAAGAAGGUAUUCGAGGAUUAUACAAAGGAGUCACUCCAAAUGUCUGGGGUUCUGGCAGUGCUUGGGGAUUAUAUUUUUUAUUUUAUAAUUCGAUAAAAAAUUGGAUACAAGGAGGCAAUACGAAGAAACCAUUGGGUCCUACGAUGCAUAUGACUGCUGCAGCCGAAGCAGGAGUACUAACGUUGAUAUUAACAAAUCCUGUAUGGGUUGUAAAGACAAGACUAUGUUUACAAUAUGCUGAAGAGCAGCAUUCUUUGAAAAAUUAUCGUUAUAAUGGAAUGCUGGACGCUUUGAGGAAAAUUUACAACACAGAAGGCGUUCGAGGUUUGUACAGGGGUUUUGUUCCUGGUAUGUUAGGAGUCACACAUGGUGCUCUACAGUUUAUGACGUAUGAAGAAAUGAAAACGUAUUAUAAUCAGUAUAGAAAUGUUCCAAUUGAUUCGAAAUUGAGUACUCUCGAGUACAUCGGAUUUGCGGCUGUGUCUAAAUUUGUAGCUGCGGUGGCUACGUAUCCGUACCAAGUGAUAAGAGCACGUUUGCAAGAUCACCACUUACAUUACGAAGGGACAUGGGAUUGUUUCACUAAAACAUGGAGGUACGAAGGAUUUCGAGGUUUUUAUAAGGGUCUAAGCCCAUAUCUGCUACAUGUUUUACCAAAUAUUUGUUUAGUAUUGGUGAUUUACGAAAAGUUUACGGACAAUUAGUGCAAUUUUUGUUUUUUUUUCUACUCUACCAAAAUUUAUUAUAAUUUUUUUGUGUAGCUUUUAUUUAUUUAUUUAAUUAGUACCUACGUGAAAUUGUAUUUCUAAACCAGUGUUAUCUCGUAUACUGAACGGAUCAAUUUUUUUGUCCAAUUUGAUCGAAUUAGCGAAUUAGCGAUGUUUUUAUGUAAUCACUUAGCCGAGCCUGGAAUCGGAAUAAUUAUUGUUGAAUGAAAGUGAUAUUCGAGAUGUGAUACGAAAACAAUGUCAAUUGUUUUUCUUUUCGGUGUAAUGAAAUUGUGUUGGAAUGAGUGGGAUUGAUGGAUGACGCGAUGUUGAGGAAUGAAAAUAUAAUCGGAUACCAAUAUUUUGGUAAGUGUGCUGUAUUUUUAAUUCCUGAAAUGAAUGUGGAGGUUUGAUUGUAUGAACACGUGUUGUAUUUUUUUCCUAGUCUUUUUAGUAGAUUUUCUAUACUACGUCGAAUUCAUUUUCAGUUUUAGUUCAUUGGUUUUGUUUCUUUUAAAUGGAUAGUUCCGCUAUGAAAUGUUAGAUAAUGAAGUUGUCCGAAUAAUUACGUAAAACGUGAGUAAUGUAUUGGAGAUAUCUCAUUUGCUGAGACUGGAUGAGAAGUUGAGAGGUAGUGCACCGAGCUGUAGUAGGUAUGUGAGACACAAUAAAACUGCCAUCUGCAUUUGAUUUUUGAAAAGUCGGUUCAUUUGUAAAUUGACAUCGUGAGUAUCAGACGAUGCAAUUACACAUUAAAAUGACCGAAGACGAAAUUGAUGUGGUUACGUGUUGUAUAAUCCAAGGGUUAAAUUUGAAAUAUAUUCAAAACGAUUAUUCCAGUUUUUGUAUUAAAUUAAUAAAAGAUCGCCGAUGUAUUAGAUAACCCAAACUGUAAUUAACCUACAUUUCUCAUGUCUUCCGAAUUUUGAUAUCAUUAAAAUUUAAUCGCUACUAACGUUUGGGUUUGCGUAUCUAUUUAUAGAACGUUUUUCGUGUAGAAGAAUUUAAUGUAACACGUAUCAAUUUUCUCAUUUAUACGAACAAUUUUUUUAAGUUGAAGAGUGAUUUUGUGCAAUUCAUUUGUUUUAUUUAUGUAACCCGUACCGCUUCAAAAAUUUGACUAUGUAGGUAUAGGUUUCAAAAUCAUGUUGAGGAUCAACUUAUAUCGAUUUUUAAACAUUGUUGAAAUAUUGUUGAACGUAUUUAGUUGAUAGAUAGAUCGAUUUUUCUCCUUCGGAAGGGUGAUGUAGUAUGUAGUUUGAAAGGAGUGUAUGCUUACCUUCCGGCAUAUCGCUCACAUUUUUUUUUUAAUAAGAAAAAAAAAACUACAAAGAUGAAAAUAUAUUGUGCAUAAAAUGAUUUCUUCCUAUUUCUAUUCGAGGAUGCGAGAACAGAUUUGUCUCAUAGGUAACCAGAUUUAGAAAGAAGCUGAUAUCUUGAGACGUCAUGCAUCUAAUUGUUGUGCCAUUAUUAAAAUUCAAAAGUUGCUCUAUACUUUUGAAAUUCUUGCGAGAAGUAGUGAAGAAUGGCGGACGCUCUCCUUCAGAGUAAACUUUUGAAAAUUACAGUGAAUACAUUUUAAAUUUUCUAAAAUAUCACUACUUGUUCGGAUUUCAUAAUUGAAAAUAUAUUUUACAAGCUGGAGCAAGAUGUACCGAGGUAAAUAUUCACUCGAGAAACGAAAAUCAGUUUUCAUCGCAUUGUUUUGAGGUUUAGAAACAACUUUUAGCAAUUCGAUCAGCCGUAGUUUCUAGUUGUCUAAUUGAUAGUCAGUUGUAUUUAAACGUGAAGUAGACGCGAUAAAUUGGUAAUUUUGUAAGUUUCGAACAGUUCCUGAAUUAUGAUUAUUAAUUAUUAUUUUCUUAUAACUUAUUGAUAAUAAAAUGAGAUCAAGAGAAGGUAUCUGAUGAUGUUGUUAUGGAAAAUAUUUUGCUGUGAUGUGAUUUAUCUUAGUUAAUCUUGUAUUGUUUUUUCUUGUUUUUCUCUCUUUUAUUACGUUUUUUUUUCUUUUUUUCCUCUCUCUCUCUCUCUCUCUUCAAGUCGUUUAAUCAAUAAGUUAUGAGUUUAAAAUUAUUUUAAAUAUCUUCUGUCAACGUGUUAAUAUGCAUUUUGUUUCUUUUUUUAAAAAUUUCGUUUUUGAUUUUCGUAUUCGAACGCAAACGCUUUACCUUGUUUCCCCCUUUUUUUUUUGAAUGUAUACUUUCGUGUGUAUUGUUUUUUCAUUUGUCUCCAUAGUAGGGUAACAUGAAUGAAUUGUAAUCAAUACAGGAUUUACUAGAACCGUUGAAGAAAAUUUUUUGUUAUAUUUUUUCAAAUUUGAUGUACGUGUAUAUGUAAACUGUAUACAACUACAAUAAAUACAUAUUUAUUCCGAUGCUGUGAAAAUUUGUGAACAAAAUCUGUUUUAGGAUACCAAUUACUCUAAUUUGCGAUGAUACGGCUGAAAGAUACGAAGGUUGGUUAGGCUUCUACAAAGGGCUGACUCCUAACUUGUUAAGAGUAAUUCCUGCAACCGCUGUUACUUUCGUUGUAUACGAAAACGUAUCUUCAUUUUUAAUGAACACGAAGUGAAAUAUCGUUACACUUUGGACAUUGGUUUCUGGAGUUCUGAUUUAUCGUAUCGGACGAUUCAUGCUAAACUAGACGCUUUGUUAUCUCAUAGCGUCGAUAAGUGUAGCGCUCGAAUACUUACUGAUUUUUAUUUCUGGUCAUUUAUGAAAAUGUAGACGCUUAUAGAAUAUACCAUUAUCAAGUUUUUAA
Planococcus citri (citrus mealybug) is the source of this 3990-nucleotide RNA transcript. It is a transcript of the gene named solute carrier family 25 member 32, with no coding region annotated. The record is from RefSeq and is a predicted model, not a curated record. Lineage: Eukaryota; Metazoa; Arthropoda; Insecta; Hemiptera; Pseudococcidae. The transcript has 7 exons.